Molecule: ribosomal RNA, 494 nt
Filed under: uncultured bacterium
Lineage: Bacteria
Description: partial 16S ribosomal RNA
Rfam family: Bacterial small subunit ribosomal RNA
Source: RNAcentral
GACGAACGCUGGCGGCGUGCUUAACACAUGCAAGUCGAACGGAAAGGCCUGCUUUCCCUUGUGGAUUGCGGGUACUCGAGUGGCGAACGGGUGAGUAACACGUGAGUUAUCUGCCCCCAACUUAGGUAUAAGCCUGGGAAACUGGGUCUAAUUACCGAUAGGACUGCAGGGUGGUGCCUGUGGUGGAAAACGAUUUUCUAGUGGGUGGGGAUGAGCUCGCGGCCUAUCAGCUUGUUGGUGGGGUAAUGGCCUACCAAGGCGGCGACGGGUAGCCGGCCUGAGAUGGUGGACGGCCACACUGGGACUGGGAUACGGCCCAGACUCCUACGGGAGGCAGCAGUGGGGAAUAUUGCGCAAUGAGCGGAAGCCUGAUGCAGCGACGCCGCGUGGGGGAUGACGGCGUUCGGGUUGUAAACUCCUUGCGACCGCGAGGAAGCCACCUGGUUGGAGGGGUGGUGACGGUAGUGGUAGAAGAAGCACCGGCUAACUACGUG